GCCAGCACGAUUCCAACUCUCGCUGCAGAUAUUCGAUCUCAUCCACCAGAUCCCUCAUUGGGUUCGUGAUGGACCUCUUUGGGAGCACCAUCAGCUUCCUCAACUCUCUGGCCUUUUGGCCCAAGCUCGCCAAAUGCGCCAUUGCCCUCUCCUUCGGGUCUGCUUGCUCCUCUUAAGGGCGCUGCAGCGUUGGAGGAGAGGAUCUUGCGCGCUCCUCCACUGCUACCGCCGGCUGGUUUGGCGAUCGCGCCAGAGCAUUUUUCCGGCGAAAGGGAUUCUCCUCAUCCCAGGCGAAUGAGCUUGUCAGCGGAGUGCUGCAAGCCGCAGCUUGUUCCGCUGAUCGCUCAUCUCCGAUCUGGCCGUUGAUCUGGCAACUCCGGUUGCUGUGGCCGCGCCCUCUUUUGGCUAAGUCGUUUUCCAGCACUUAGCUCCGUGCCUCCAGUCAGCUGUUCUUCCGUCGUUAUCCAACACCACUUGCGGUGUGCUUGGCCAAUUUUGCCCAAAAACAAAAAGAAGGCAGCAACCAACAAAUGGCGCAAAGAAUCACAGCGAAGAAGAAUAGGAAAACAGGCACUUACCUGCUGUUCCUUCCCCCCCCUUCGGCCUAGGGCUCGACGGCGUUCCACUGGGAUUUCGGCCUGUACUAUUGGCCAGGUGGCCGCUUCUCUGCUUGCGGACUUGCGUUCCGCGCAGGCUAACUUCCGACGGUUUCCACUGAAUUAUACGGAACGAUUUAAAAACACGACCGCACUCACUAGAAUACAAGUUAACGAGUGCCCCUCGCACAUUGUUGUGUAACAUAAACAACCGCAAAUGUUAGCCAACAGUUGCACUCAAGAUGCCAAAUCAGCGAACUUCAGUUCAGCGCCCUGAAUGUGACGGUCAACCGGCGGUAAUCUGAUAUCUUGCACAUGCCGCAAGAUCAGCAUUAUCGCUUAUGCCAAGUCGGCUUACCGACUGUAGCUUUGUAGCUCUAAGUACAUAUAUUUUGUAGCUUUGCAUUCUUUGGCAAUUAAAUACUUUUGAUUCAGCUUAUGCCCCAGCUUGCUGGUGGCUCCUAGUUUUAGUUCUGUUCUUAUGACGAAAGCUAACGCUUGUUAAUAAACCUUGCUCCGGCAACCAGCCGUAAACACUUUGAAUUAUUAAUUCUAUACCACUGUACCACAAGGCCAGUGAUAAGAGAGACAGUUAUCUC
Drosophila miranda is the source of this 1195-nucleotide long non-coding RNA. RefSeq lists it as uncharacterized. The transcript is spliced from 2 exons. NCBI's taxonomy places the organism in Eukaryota, Metazoa, Arthropoda, Insecta, Diptera, Drosophilidae. The record is from RefSeq and is a predicted model, not a curated record.